RNAcentral lists this ribosomal RNA (449 nucleotides) under uncultured bacterium. RNAcentral describes it as "partial 16S ribosomal RNA". It matches the Rfam family "Bacterial small subunit ribosomal RNA", at positions 29 to 523 of the family's 1533-position model. The record is from RNAcentral.
AGCGAACGCUGGCGGCAGGCCUAACACAUGCAAGUCGAACGAACUCUUCGGAGUUAGUGGCGGACGGGUGAGUAACACGUGGGAACGUGCCUUUAGGUUCGGAAUAACUCAGGGAAACUUGUGCUAAUACCGAAUGUGCCCUUCGGGGGAAAGAUUUAUCGCCUUUAGAGCGGCCCGCGUCUGGUUAGCUAGUUGGUGAGGUAACGGCUCACCAAGGCGACGAUCAGUAGCUGGUCUGAGAGGACGGCCAGCCACACUGGGACUGAGACACGGCCCAGACUCCUACGGGAGGCAGCAGUGGGGAAUCUUGCGCAAUGGGCGAAAGCCUGACGCAGCCAUGCUGCGUGAAUGAUGAAGGUCUUAGGAUUGUAAAAUUCUUUCACCGGGGACGAUAAUGACGGUACCCGGAGAAGAAGCCCCGGCUAACUUCGUGCCAGCCGCCGCGGUAA